This 377-nucleotide unclassified non-coding RNA is filed under the name uncultured Actinomycetes bacterium. Its description in RNAcentral is "uncultured actinobacterium contains 16S-23S intergenic spacer region". Lineage: Bacteria; Bacillati; Actinomycetota; Actinomycetes. The record is from RNAcentral.
UCCGCCUUGCGACGGCAGUAUCCUGUGAGUCCCCGGCAUUACCCGCUGGCAACACAGGACAAGGGUUGCGCUCGUUGAGUCACUUAAGACCACACCUCACGGCACGAGCUGACGACAGCCAUGCACCACCUGUGAUCGGGUCCCGAAGGAAGACCGGCUUUCACCGGCUGUCCCGAACAUGUCAAGCCCAGGUAAGGUUCUUCGCGUUGCGUCGAAUUAAACCACAUGCUCCACUGCUUGUGCAGGUCCCCGUCUAUUCCUUUGAGUUUUAGCCUUGCGGCCGUACUCCCCAGGCGGGGUGCUUAACGCGUUAGCUUAGACACCGGAGGAGUCGACACCUCCGACAUCGAGCACCCAUCGUUUACGGCGUGGACUAC